Hypomesus transpacificus is the source of this 724-nucleotide long non-coding RNA. RefSeq lists it as uncharacterized. The transcript is spliced from 4 exons. NCBI's taxonomy places the organism in Eukaryota, Metazoa, Chordata, Actinopteri, Osmeriformes, Osmeridae. The record is from RefSeq and is a predicted model, not a curated record.
GUUUUGCACUAGCAGGAGACGCGCCACUGAAGUCAUGCAAAACACGGAACGGAUUUUGCGGACCGAACACUAGGCCUAUUUAUUUGUAGGUUAAUCUGGGUCAAAGCUUAAAUAAACAGCGGUGCACGCUCCAACUCCGCACUGAAAACGCCAUCAUGGUUAGUGUCUGUCUUUGACUGAAGGUGUACGGCCUAGAUAAUGUAGAUGUCGUCCUUGAUGUGUCUUUGGAAUUUUUUUACUUUUCUUCCUCCUUUCUUCCUCUUCAGAGGUCACUGGUUCUUGGUGUGCUCCUGUGUGCUCUACCUUCAAUGCUCAACGCUGCAUGUUUUGUGGCUCAGACUAAAGCCAAGACCCAUUGUUGGGACAGCGCAGAUGAGACGUGGUAUGCUGUGGGUUCCAACUGGAAAAACCGCAACUGCAUGAAAUGUAGUUGUCACUCUGGCAUCAUAUUAGAAACGCGCUGCUGCCACGGGUAUCCAACUGGUAUUACAAUCCCGGAUGACUGUGUCUCUGAGUUUGAUCAGAAAACAUGUCGACAUAUUAUACAUAAAAAGGAUGAUCCAUCCACUGAGUGUAGGAUCAUCAGCGCUGUGGGAUAAAGUUGUAGUUCUUUAUGUUACUGUGAAGUGAAUGAAAUUAUGUAAUCUCAUGUAAGGUGUGUCAAUAAUCAUAUCUGAUGCUUUGGAAACGUGAUCAGUUGAAUAAAGCACAUUUAAACAUUUGG